CGUUAGCGGCGGACGGGUGAGUAACACGUGGGUAACCUACCUAUAAGACUGGGACAACUUCGGGAAACCGGAGCUAAUACCGGAUAAGAUAUCGAACCGCAUGGUUCGAUAGUGAAAGAUGGUUUUGCUAUCACUUAUAGAUGGACCCGCGCCGUAUUAGCUAGUUGGUGAGGUAACGGCUCACCAAGGCAACGAUACGUAGCCGACCUGAGGAGGGUGAUCGGCCACACUGGAACUGAGACACGGUCCAGACUCCUACGGGAGGCAGCAGGG
This 273-nucleotide ribosomal RNA is filed under the name uncultured Staphylococcus sp. RNAcentral describes it as "partial 16S ribosomal RNA". It matches the Rfam family "Bacterial small subunit ribosomal RNA", at positions 90 to 354 of the family's 1533-position model. Lineage: Bacteria; Bacillati; Bacillota; Bacilli; Caryophanales; Staphylococcaceae. The record is from RNAcentral.